GAUGAACGCUGGCGGCGUGCCUAAUACAUGCAAGUCGAGCGAACGGACGAGAAGCUUGCUUCUCUGAUGUUAGCGGCGGACGGGCGAGUAACACGUGGAUAACCUACCUAUAAGACUGGGAUAACUUCGGGAAACCGGAGCUAAUACCGGAUGAUAUUUUGAACCGCAUGGUUCAAAAGUGAAAGACGGUCUUGCUGUCACUUAUAGAUGGAUCCGCGCUGCAUUAGCUAGUUGGUAAGGUAACGGCUUACCAAGGCAACGAUGCAUAGCCGACCUGAGAGGGUGAUCGGCCACACUGGGACGAAGACACGAUCCAAAGGCCUACGGGAGGCAGCAGUAGGGAAUCUUCCGCAAUGGGCGGAAGCCUGACGGAGCAACGCCGCGUGAGUGAUGAAGGUCUUCGGAUCGUAAAACUCUGUUAUUAGGGAAGAACAUAUGUGUAAGUAACUGUGCACAUCGUGACGGUACCUAAUCAGAAAGCCACGGGUAACUACGUG
RNAcentral lists this ribosomal RNA (497 nucleotides) under uncultured bacterium. RNAcentral describes it as "partial 16S ribosomal RNA". It matches the Rfam family "Bacterial small subunit ribosomal RNA", at positions 28 to 507 of the family's 1533-position model. The record is from RNAcentral.